Molecule: long non-coding RNA, 245 nt
Organism: Haliotis rubra (blacklip abalone)
Lineage: Eukaryota; Metazoa; Mollusca; Gastropoda; Lepetellida; Haliotidae
Exons: 3
Source: RefSeq, a predicted model, not a curated record
GAAGUCAAGUCAUCGGUCCUCAGCUUUUACAAUCAACUGAUGGAGACAGUGACGAUUAUAAUACCCAGGGCAGGGAAGAUGAUCUAUAAGGCUAUUAAGGCUAUCAUUGAUAGCUUCAGGACGUUCAACAAAGACCCCAAACAGGCAAUUUCUACUGUCGCUGGCAACGUUAUCACCAUAGGCCUAGAAGUAAAGAAUCUGGUUCACGUCAUUUACAAGACCAAAACUGCAAUAUAUACAACCCU